Molecule: ribosomal RNA, 405 nt
Filed under: uncultured bacterium
Lineage: Bacteria
Description: bacterial SSU rRNA
Rfam family: Bacterial small subunit ribosomal RNA
Source: RNAcentral
CGGUUAAACGCGAAGAAACCUUACCAAGGCUUGAACAUCCCCCGGAAAACGGCCAGAGAUGGUCGCCCCCCUUGUGGUCGGUGUACAGGUGGUGCAUGGUUGUCGUCAACUCGUGUCGUGAGAUGUUGGGUUAAGUCCCGCAACGAGCGCAACCCUCGUUCUAUGUUGCCAGCGCGUUAUGGCGGGGACUCAUAGGAGACUGCCGGGGUCAACUCGGAGGAAGGUGGGGAUGACGUCAAAUCAUCAUGCCCCUUAUGUCUUGGGCUUCACGCAUGCUACAAUGGCCGGUACAAAGGGCUGCGAUACCGUAAGGUGGAGCGAAUCCCAAAAAGCCGGUCUCAGUUCGGAUUGAGGUCUGCAACUCGACCUCAUGAAGUCGGAAUCGCUAGUAAUCGCAGAUCAGCA